RNAcentral lists this ribosomal RNA (229 nucleotides) under uncultured bacterium. RNAcentral describes it as "partial 16S ribosomal RNA". It matches the Rfam family "Bacterial small subunit ribosomal RNA", at positions 568 to 796 of the family's 1533-position model. The record is from RNAcentral.
UGCGCAGGCGGAAUAAUAAGUCAGUGGUGAAAUCUCUCGGCUCAACCGAGAAACUGCCAUUGAUACUGUUAUUCUUGAGUAUAGUUGUAGUGGGCGGAAUAUAGCAUGUAGCGGUGAAAUGCUUAGAUAUGCUAUAGAACACCGAUCGCGAAGGCAGCUCACUAAACUAUAACUGACGCUCAGGCACGAAAGCGUGGGGAGCAAACAGUAUUAGAUACCCUGGUAGUCC